ACUCUAGCCCACACACACAUAAAUAUAAAUAUUGAAAUUUUACUAAAUCAAAACAUUCAACCAAGAAUAGUAUUGGAGAAAGAAAUUCCACCAAAGGAGCUAUAGAGUAAGUACCGCAAGGGAAAGAUGAAAGAUAACUUUAAAGUAAAAAAAAGCAAAGAUAAACCCCUGUACCUUUUGCAUAAUGAAUUAACUAGAAAUAAUCUAACCAAAAGAAUUUAAGCUAGAAACCCCGAAACCAAACGAGCUACCUAAAAACAAUUUUACGAAUCAACCCGUCUAUGUAGCAAAAUAGUGGGAAGAUUUUUAGGUAGAGGUGAAAUGCCAAACGAGCUUGGUGAUAGCUGGUUACCCAACAAUGAAUUUUAGUUCAACUUAAAAUUUACUAAAAGAACAUACAAUCCAAAUGUAAAUUUUAAAUAUAGCCAAAAGAGGGACAGCUCUUUAGGAAUGGAAAAAACCUUUAAUAGUGAAUAAACUAAAUAAUUAUUAAACCAUUGUAGGCCUAAAAGCAGCCACCAAUAAAGAAAGCGUUCAAGCUCAACAUAAUAAAUAUACAAUACCAAAAAUCCCAAACAAAUUCCUAUAAUAACAAUUGGGUUAAUCUAUUAAUCAAUAGAUGAGAUAAUGUUAAUAUGAGUAACAAGAAUUAAUUCUCCAGGCACAAGUGUAUAACAACUCGGAUAACCAUUGUUAGUUACCGAAUCAUAGAUACUAAACACAAAAUAAAUAAACCUAUAGUUAAUCCGUUAACCCAACACAGGAGUGCCCUAAGGAAAGAUUAAAAGGAAUAAAAGGAACUCGGCAAAUACGGACCCCGCCUGUUUACCAAAAACAUCACCUCUAGCAUUACAAGUAUUAGAGGCAUUGCCUGCCCAGUGACUCAAGUUAAACGGCCGCGGUAUCCUGACCGUGCAAAGGUAGCAUAAUCACUUGUUCCUUAAUUAGGGACUAGAAUGAACGGCUAAACGAGGGUCCAACUGUCUCUUAUUCCCAAUCAGUGAAAUUGACCUUUCAGUGAAGAGGCUGAAAUACUACAAUAAGACGAGAAGACCCUAUGGAGCUUUAAUCAAAAGUUUAAUUACAAAUUACAUAACCUAAUGGAACAAACAUAAAAAUCUAAACUAGAGAUUUCGGUUGGGGUGACCUCGGAGAACAAAAAAUCCUCCGAAAGAUUUUAACAUAGACUAACAAGUCAAAGUAACUUAAAAUCCAAUUGACCCAAAAAUCUUGAUCAACGGACCAAGUUACCCUAGGGAUAACAGCGCAAUCCUAUUUAAGAGUCCAUAUCGACAAUUAGGGUUUACGACCUCGAUGUUGGAUCAGGACAUCCCAAUGGUGCAGAAGCUAUUAACGGUUCGUUUGUUCAACGAUUAAAGUCCUACGUGAUCUGAGUUCAGACCGGAGUAAUCCAGGUCGGUUUCUAUCUAUUCACAAUUUCUCCCAGUACGAAAGGACAAGAGAAAUAGAGCCAACUUACAAAAAUGCUCUUAACCUAACCUAUGAAACAAAUCUUAAUAUGACAACCAAUGUAAAAAAAAAAUUACCAAAAUAAGGUU
Molecule: ribosomal RNA, 1559 nt
Filed under: Chiropodomys gliroides (Indomalayan pencil-tailed tree mouse)
Lineage: Eukaryota; Metazoa; Chordata; Mammalia; Rodentia; Muridae
Description: 16S ribosomal RNA
Rfam family: Bacterial large subunit ribosomal RNA
Source: RNAcentral